GAUGAAGAACGUAGCGAAAUGCGAUAAGUAAUGUGAAUUGCAGAAUUCAGUGAAUCAUCGAAUCUUUGAACGCACAUUGCGCCCGCCAGUAUUCUGGCGGGCAUGCCUGUUCGAGCGUCAUUUCAACCCUCAAGCCCAGCUUGGUGUUGGGGAUCGGCACAGGCGCCCUCGGGCGCCCGCCGUCCCCUAAAUCUAGUGGCGGUCCCGCUGCAGCCUCCUCUGCGUAGUAGUUUUCUCCUCGCAAGGGCAGCUCGGUGGCGACCUCGCCGUAAAACCCCCAACUUCUGAAAGGUUGACCUCGAAUCAGGUAGGAAUACCCGCUGAACUUAAGCAUCUCAAUAAGCGGAGGA
RNAcentral lists this unclassified non-coding RNA (350 nucleotides) under soil metagenome. RNAcentral describes it as "partial contains 5.8S ribosomal RNA, internal transcribed spacer 2, and large subunit ribosomal RNA". The stretch from base 1 to 120 matches the Rfam family "5.8S ribosomal RNA", at positions 35 to 154 of the family's 154-position model. The record is from RNAcentral.